AUUGAACGCUGGCGGCAGGCCUAACACAUGCAAGUCGAACGGUAGCACAGAGAGCUUGCUCUCGGGUGACGAGUGGCGGACGGGUGAGUAACGUCUGGGAAACUGCCCGAUGGAGGGGGAUAACUACUGGAAACGGUAGCUAAUACCGCAUAACGUCGCAAGACCAAAGUGGGGGACCUUCGGGCCUCACACCAUCGGAUGUGGCCAGAUGGGAUUAGCUAGUAGGUGGGGUAAUGGCUGACCUAGGCGACGAUCCCUAGCUGGUCUGAGAGGAUGACCAGCCACACUGGAACUGAGACACGGUCCAGACUCCUACGGGAGGCAGCAGUGGGGAAUAUUGCACAAUGGGCGCAAGCCUGAUGCAGCCAUGCCGCGUGUAUGAAGAAGGCCCUCGGGUUGUAAAGUACUUUCAGCGGGGAGGAAGGCGGUGGAGUUAAUAACUUCACCGAUUGACGUUACCCGCAGAAGAAGCACCGGCUAACUCCGUGCCAGCCGCCGCCGUAA
Molecule: ribosomal RNA, 504 nt
Filed under: uncultured bacterium
Lineage: Bacteria
Description: partial 16S ribosomal RNA
Rfam family: Bacterial small subunit ribosomal RNA
Source: RNAcentral